This 397-nucleotide ribosomal RNA is filed under the name uncultured bacterium. Its description in RNAcentral is "partial 16S ribosomal RNA". It matches the Rfam family "Bacterial small subunit ribosomal RNA", at positions 523 to 918 of the family's 1533-position model. The record is from RNAcentral.
AUACGUAGGGGGCGAGCGUUGUCCGGAAUGAUUGGGCGUAAAGGGCGCGUAGGCGGCCGAGUAAGUCUGGAGUGAAAGUCCUGUUUUCAAGAUGGGAAUUGCUUUGGAUACUGCUCGGCUUGAGUGCAGGAGAGGUUAUCGGAAUUCCCGGUGUAGCGGUGAAAUACGUAGAGAUUGGGAGGAACACCAGUGGCGAAGGCGACUUACUGGACUGUAACUGACGCUGAGGCGCGAAAGUGUGGGGAGCAAACAGGAUUAGAUACCCUGGUAGUCCACACUGUAAACGAUGAAUGCUAGGUGUAGGGGGUAUCGACCCCUUCUGUGCCGCAGUCAACACAAUAAGCAUUCCGCCUGGGGAGUACGGCCGCAAGGUUGAAACUCAAAGGAAUUGACGGGG